UUCCUGGUGGUCCAGUGGCUAGGACUCUGCACUCCCAAUGCAGGGAGCCCAGGUUCAAUCCCUGGUCAGAGAA
This 73-nucleotide transfer RNA is filed under the name Bos taurus (domestic cattle). It matches the Rfam family "tRNA". From Rfam's summary of the family: Transfer RNA (tRNA) molecules are approximately 80 nucleotides in length. Their secondary structure includes four short double-helical elements and three loops (D, anti-codon, and T loops). The record is from Rfam by way of RNAcentral. RNAcentral also lists the same sequence under 2 other names. Lineage: Eukaryota; Metazoa; Chordata; Mammalia; Artiodactyla; Bovidae.